CCUACGGGGGGCUGCAGUGGGGAAUAUUGGACAAUGGGCGAAAGCCUGAUCCAGCCACGCCGCGUGUGUGAAGAAGGCCUUCGGGUUGUAAAGCACUUUCAGUGGGGAAGAAAGCCUUGGGGCUAAUACCCUCGAGGAAGGACAUCACCCACAGAAGAAGCACCGGCUAACUCCGUGCCAGCAGCCGCGGUAAUACGGAGGGUGCGAGCGUUAAUCGGAAUUACUGGGCGUAAAGCGCGCGUAGGCGGUCUGAUAAGCCGGUUGUGAAAGCCCCGGGCUCAACCUGGGAACGGCAUCCGGAACUGUCAGGCUAGAGUGCAGGAGAGGAAGGUAGAAUUCCCGGUGUAGCAGUGAAAUGCGUAGAGAUCGGGAGGAAUACCAGUGGCGAAGGCGGCCUUCUGGACUGACACUGACGCUGAGGUGCGAAAGCGUGGGUAGCAAACAGGAUUAGAUACCCCAGUAGUC
Molecule: ribosomal RNA, 465 nt
Filed under: Vreelandella stevensii
Lineage: Bacteria; Pseudomonadati; Pseudomonadota; Gammaproteobacteria; Oceanospirillales; Halomonadaceae
Description: partial 16S ribosomal RNA
Rfam family: Bacterial small subunit ribosomal RNA
Source: RNAcentral